AUGGUAAACGGGCCAACAAGCCCGUAUUCUAGAGCCCACAAUCACAAGGCUUGUGAGCCGUCCAUUUCUCUUACCCAGCCCGUAAUCACAAUGCCACCAGCCCAGCACUUCCUCUCUCUCGCCAAAAAGAGAAACGGCGGCGACUCCUCACUCCUCAGAAUCAGGUUUCCCCCUCCCACUCCCCAUCGCCCGCAAUGGCGACGGCGGCGGCAACUCCGCCCCGCUUCCAGAUCUCCAACUAGCGAGUGCGACGCGCCAGAUCGCUUCGCCAUGGAGGACCGCGGCGGGGAGAUCCCCGCCAAGCGACCACCCAAGCCUUUCGAUGGCGGCGAGGACCGCCUCAGCGCGGUUCCCGACGAACUUCUUAUCGACAUCCUUCUCAAGAUCCGCGAUGCCUCCGCCGCCGCGCGGACCAGCGUCCUAUCCCGCCGCUGGCGCCGCGUCUGGACGCUCCUCCCGGAGCUCCACUUUCUCCCCCACGAUGACCCCCACCGAAUACGCCUCGCCCUCACCGCCCAUGAAGCGCCGGCCCUAGGCUUCCUCGACGUCGCCGUCAUUGACGCCACCCCCGAGUCCAUGGUGGCCUGGCUUCAAAUCGCUGCGCGCCGCCUCUCCGGCCAUCUACGUCUCAUCAACACUGAGGAGAACACCUCGUUAGACGAGGCCGGAGAAAGAGGCGCAUUCGAGCUGCCCUGCUUCGAGGAUGCCAUGUCCAUCAGCCUCGAACUAGGCCAUCUUGGCCUCGCUGUGCCAUCUUCGGGUGUAUUCGCCCGGCUCACCAAUCUCUUCCUGAAUCGCGUCCGGCUACAUGGUCCGUCUAUGCUCGGUGACGCUGUCUCCUGGCCACGGUGUCCAUCCCUGCGGAGACUCAUCGUUCAUAAUGCCGACGGUGUGCGCAACUUCGCAAUCCACUCCGAUUCUCUCCUACAAAUGGACCUGAGGAAUCUCCGGUCAGAUAAUGCCCUUGGUCUGGGCAACUUCACCAUUCGUUCAGACUCUCUACUGCGAAUGACUCUCACGAGUCUGCAUGGCUUGGAGCAGCUCACUGUUAUGGCGUCGGCACUCCAAUUUCUAAGUGUGAGCUCCUGCAUUUAUUAUAGUUUGAGAAAUGAUCAACCGGUUGCAAACAUCUCGGCCCCUCAGCUGACAUCCCUCCAGUGGAAGGAUGAUUAUCAUCCAAGCUACACCCAGCUUAAAAUGGAAAAUCUAGAAAGGCUGAGUGCCCACCCUUUUUACGUAUAUGGACAAGAGUCGCAGAAGACGUUCAAUAGUAAUUGUACGAGGCUUCUACGGCGCUUUGAGGUCAUCUGGAUUCUCAAAUUAAUGCUUCUCUAUCUGCCGGAAAUUACUAACCAUGAGUACUUGAUGGAAGACAUUAAAAAGAUCCCAAACACUGCAUUAAUGGUCCUGGAAAUAGUGGCAAGUGGACAUUCCUUUGGAGCCAGUUCAUUCCAUGUCCUCAGCACGUGUAGAAUGCUUCUUCUUAAACUUCUUGACGUACCUGGCCAUCUGGUGGCACAAACUGGAUGCCCAUCAGACUGUGUUUGUGAUCAGCCACCAAACUGGAAAACCGAGGAACUCACGCUGUAUUGCCUUCGAGAAGUAGAGAUCCAAAACUUGAGAGGAACUGAACAUGAAACUGCUCUUAUGAAACGGUUAUUCCGUUGGGCAACAGUGCUAGAAAAGAUGACAGUAACUUUCCAUUUCUCAGUCGCUGACAGCAAGGCCAAGGAGUUCUGCCAGAUGCUUCGAAGCUUCUGUAGGCCAGAAAUAUCUAUUAAGGGGCAACGCUUCGCCUAA
Molecule: ribosomal RNA, 1800 nt
Filed under: Triticum aestivum (bread wheat)
Lineage: Eukaryota; Viridiplantae; Streptophyta; Magnoliopsida; Poales; Poaceae
Description: partial small subunit ribosomal RNA
Source: RNAcentral